Molecule: non-coding RNA, 54 nt
Organism: Salmo salar (Atlantic salmon)
Lineage: Eukaryota; Metazoa; Chordata; Actinopteri; Salmoniformes; Salmonidae
Source: Rfam
UUAGAUACCAUUUGUAAGUCGCUCUGGAUAAGAGCGUCUGCUAAAUGACGUAAA